GGGUGCGAUCAUACCAGCACUAAUGCACCGGAUCCCAUCAGAACUCCGAAGUUAAGCGUGCUUGGGCGAGAGUAGUACUAGGAUGGGUGACCCCCUGGGAAGUCCUCGUAGUAUGGUUA
This 119-nucleotide ribosomal RNA is filed under the name Erythranthe guttata (spotted monkey flower). Lineage: Eukaryota; Viridiplantae; Streptophyta; Magnoliopsida; Lamiales; Phrymaceae. The record is from RNAcentral.